RNAcentral lists this ribosomal RNA (306 nucleotides) under uncultured bacterium. RNAcentral's name for it is "partial 16S ribosomal RNA". It matches the Rfam family "Bacterial small subunit ribosomal RNA", at positions 507 to 808 of the family's 1533-position model. The record is from RNAcentral.
GACAGCAGCGCCGCGGGAAUACAGAGGGUGCGAGCGUUAAUUGGAUUUACUGGGCGUAAAGCGUGCGUAGGCGGCUUCUUAAGUCGGAUGUGAAAUCCCUGAGCUUAACUUAGGAGUUGCAUUCGAUACUGGGAAGCUAGAGUAUGGGAGAGGAUGGUAGAAUUCCAGGUGUAGCGGUGAAAUGCGUAGAGAUCUGGAGGAAUACCGAUGGCGAAGGCAGCCAUCUGGCCUAAUACUGACGCUGAGGUACGAAAGCAUGGGGAGCAAACAGGAUUAGAUACCCCCGUAGUCCCUGUCUCUUAUACA